AGACCCGAAACCCGGUGAUCUAGCCAUGGGCAGGUUGAAGGUUGGGUAACACUAACUGGAGGACCGAACCGACUAAUGUUGAAAAAUUAGCGGAUGACCUGUGGCUGGGGGUGAAAGGCCAAUCAAACCGGGAGAUAGCUGGUUCUCCCCGAAAGCUAUUUAGGUAGCGCCUCGUGAAUUCAUCUCCGGGGGUAGAGCACUGUUUCGGCUAGGGGGCCAUCCCGGCUUACCAACCCGAUGCAAACUGCGAAUACCGGAGAAUGUUAUCACGGGAGACACACGGCGGGUGCUAACGUCCGUCGUGAAGAGGGAAACAACCCAGACCGCCAGCUAAGGUCCCAAAGUCAUGGUUAAGUGGGAAACGAUGUGGGAAGGCCCAGACAGCCAGGAUGUUGGCUUAGAAGCAGCCAUCAUUUAAAGAAAGCGUAAUAGCUCACUGGUCGAGUCGGCCUGCGCGGAAGAUGUAACGGGGCUAAACCAUGCACCGAAGCUGCGGCAGCGAACGUAUCACUUAAAGCGAUUCAGCGGGUUACGAUUGACGGAGCGAAGCGACGUCAAAGCGUAUACAAAGUCGAGUCGGUUUAAGGAUACGUUCGUUGGGUAGGGGAGCGUUCUGUAAGCCUGUGAA
RNAcentral lists this ribosomal RNA (628 nucleotides) under Salmonella enterica subsp. enterica serovar Infantis. RNAcentral's name for it is "partial 23S ribosomal RNA". It matches the Rfam family "Bacterial large subunit ribosomal RNA", at positions 711 to 1254 of the family's 2925-position model. The record is from RNAcentral. Lineage: Bacteria; Pseudomonadati; Pseudomonadota; Gammaproteobacteria; Enterobacterales; Enterobacteriaceae. RNAcentral also lists the same sequence under 2 other names.